This 446-nucleotide ribosomal RNA is filed under the name uncultured bacterium. RNAcentral describes it as "partial 16S ribosomal RNA". It matches the Rfam family "Bacterial small subunit ribosomal RNA", at positions 338 to 795 of the family's 1533-position model. The record is from RNAcentral.
CCUACGGGUGGCUGCAGUAGGGAAUUUUCGGCAAUGCGGGGAACCCUGACCGAGCAACGCCGCGUGAACGAAGAAGUUCUUCGUAAUGUAAAGUUCUUUUAACAGGGAAGAAAGAGAAAUUUGACGGUACCUGAAGAAUAAGCUCCGGCUAACUACGUACCAGCAGCUGCGGUAAUACGUAGGGCGCGAGCGUUAUCGGGAAUGAUUGGGGGAAAAGGGUUCGUAGAUGGCAUAGUAAGUCUUUUGUAAAAAUGCUGGGUUAAAACCAGUAGGGCAAAAGAUACUGCAAAACUAGAGUAUGACAGAGGCAAGUAGAACUACAGGUGUAGCGGUAAAAUGCGUAAAUAUAUGUAAGAACACCGGUGGCGAAGGCGGCAAUCUGGGUCGAUACUGACAUUGAGGCGCGAAAGCGUGGGGAGCAAACAGGAUUAGAUACCCCUGUAGUC